Molecule: ribosomal RNA, 2004 nt
Filed under: Escherichia coli
Lineage: Bacteria; Pseudomonadati; Pseudomonadota; Gammaproteobacteria; Enterobacterales; Enterobacteriaceae
Description: partial 23S ribosomal RNA
Rfam family: Bacterial large subunit ribosomal RNA
Source: RNAcentral
AAAGCUAUUUAGGUAGCGCCUCGUGAAUUCAUCUCCGGGGGUAGAGCACUGUUUCGGCAAGGGGGUCAUCCCGACUUACCAACCCGAUGCAAACUGCGAAUACCGGAGAAUGUUAUCACGGGAGACACACGGCGGGUGCUAACGUCCGUCGUGAAGAGGGAAACAACCCAGACCGCCAGCUAAGGUCCCAAAGUCAUGGUUAAGUGGGAAACGAUGUGGGAAGGCCCAGACAGCCAGGAUGUUGGCUUAGAAGCAGCCAUCAUUUAAAGAAAGCGUAAUAGCUCACUGGUCGAGUCGGCCUGCGCGGAAGAUGUAACGGGGCUAAACCAUGCACCGAAGCUGCGGCAGCGACGCUGAUGCGUUGUUGGGUAGGGGAGCGUUCUGUAAGCCUGUGAAGGUGUGCUGUGAGGCAUGCUGGAGGUAUCAGAAGUGCGAAUGCUGACAUAAGUAACGAUAAAGCGGGUGAAAAGCCCGCUCGCCGGAAGACCAAGGGUUCCUGUCCAACGUUAAUCGGGGCAGGGUGAGUCGACCCCUAAGGCGAGGCCGAAAGGCGUAGUCGAUGGGAAACAGGUUAAUAUUCCUGUACUUGGUGUUACUGCGAAGGGGGGACGGAGAAGGCUAUGUUGGCCGGGCGACGGUUGUCCCGGUUUAAGCGUGUAGGCUGGUUUUCCAGGCAAAUCCGGAAAACUAAGGCUGAGGCGUGAUGACGAGGCACUACGGUGCUGAAGCAACAAAUGCCCUGCUUCCAGGAAAAGCCUCUAAGCAUCAGGUAACAUCAAAUCGUACCCCAAACCGACACAGGUGGUCAGGUAGAGAAUACCAAGGCGCUUGAGAGAACUCGGGUGAAGGAACUAGGCAAAAUGGUGCCGUAACUUCGGGAGAAGGCACGCUGAUAUGUAGGUGAAGUCCCUCGCGGAUGGAGCUGAAAUCAGUCGAAGAUACCAGCUGGCUGCAACUGUUUAUUAAAAACACAGCACUGUGCAAACACGAAAGUGGACGUAUACGGUGUGACGCCUGCCCGGUGCCGGAAGGUUAAUUGAUGGGGUCAGCGCAAGCGAAGCUCUUGAUCGAAGCCCCGGUAAACGGCGGCCGUAACUAUAACGGUCCUAAGGUAGCGAAAUUCCUUGUCGGGUAAGUUCCGACCUGCACGAAUGGCGUAAUGAUGGCCAGGCUGUCUCCACCCGAGACUCAGUGAAAUUGAACUCGCUGUGAAGAUGCAGUGUACCCGCGGCAAGACGGAAAGACCCCGUGAACCUUUACUAUAGCUUGACACUGAACAUUGAGCCUUGAUGUGUAGGAUAGGUGGGAGGCUUUGAAGUGUGGACGCCAGUCUGCAUGGAGCCGACCUUGAAAUACCACCCUUUAAUGUUUGAUGUUCUAACGUUGACCCGUAAUCCGGGUUGCGGACAGUGUCUGGUGGGUAGUUUGACUGGGGCGGUCUCCUCCUAAAGAGUAACGGAGGAGCACGAAGGUUGGCUAAUCCUGGUCGGACAUCAGGAGGUUAGUGCAAUGGCAUAAGCCAGCUUGACUGCGAGCGUGACGGCGCGAGCAGGUGCGAAAGCAGGUCAUAGUGAUCCGGUGGUUCUGAAUGGAAGGGCCAUCGCUCAACGGAUAAAAGGUACUCCGGGGAUAACAGGCUGAUACCGCCCAAGAGUUCAUAUCGACGGCGGUGUUUGGCACCUCGAUGUCGGCUCAUCACAUCCUGGGGCUGAAGUAGGUCCCAAGGGUAUGGCUGUUCGCCAUUUAAAGUGGUACGCGAGCUGGGUUUAGAACGUCGUGAGACAGUUCGGUCCCUAUCUGCCGUGGGCGCUGGAGAACUGAGGGGGGCUGCUCCUAGUACGAGAGGACCGGAGUGGACGCAUCACUGGUGUUCGGGUUGUCAUGCCAAUGGCACUGCCCGGUAGCUAAAUGCGGAAGAGAUAAGUGCUGAAAGCAUCUAAGCACGAAACUUGCCCCGAGAUGAGUUCUCCCUGACUCCUUGAGAGUCCUGAAGGAACGUUGAAG